This 499-nucleotide long non-coding RNA is filed under the name Actinidia chinensis (golden kiwifruit). Its description in RNAcentral is "long non-coding RNA (ACHI_LNC002587)". The record is from RNAcentral. Lineage: Eukaryota; Viridiplantae; Streptophyta; Magnoliopsida; Ericales; Actinidiaceae.
GAUUCGUAAUUGACCCACCAUCAAGUGCAAACCAAGCUUGAGAGGACGUGGCACUCGAAGAGUACUCUGCUGGAGAUUUAUUGAGUUGAUUUGAGUUGGCAUAACCAGCCGAAGCAGAGGUUCCCAGGACUGUCUCUCCCACUUUCAUCCCUUGAUCCAUCGUUCGACGUGCUUGCGAAAGUGGAUUCAUAGUAGCAGUGCCAUCUCCAUGAACCAUGUCAACGCACACCGUCGGAUUCGUAAUCGCCCCGCCAUCAAAUGCAAACCAAGCUUGAGAGGACGUGUCACUCGAAGAGUACUCUGCUGGAGAAUUAUUGAGUCGAUUUGAGUUUGCAUAACCAGCCGAAGGAGAGGUUCCGAGGGCUGUCUCUCCCACUUUCAUCCAUUGAUCCGUGGAUCGAUGUGCUUGCGGAAACGGAUCCAGACUAGAAGUGCGAUCGAGUUCAGACCAAGCUGGAUAAGACGUGUCACUCGAAGAGUACUCUGCUGGAGAAUUAUU